AAGUCCAACAUCAAAAAGGCCAUCUGUGAGAAUGAGGCCUCAGCCAUGUCUGAAAUUUAUAGUGCUGAGAAGACAUCCAGUGAGGGCAACUGACUCUGCCUCUUCCAGAUGCCCCUGCUACAUAUGCCCCGACUCCCAGAAGGAGGUGUCACUCAAUAUGAGCACACACCACCGGACGGAGCUCCCUCACACUGUGACUUUCGUAGUCUUACCAGCUAAGAGAACAUGUUCCUCACUAGGACCCUGCUUUUUUGUUUGUUCGAUCACUUGUAUUUGUUGGACUCAUACCUCAUUAAACAGGGAUGACUGGGUUAGUCCAA
Erpetoichthys calabaricus (reedfish) is the source of this 320-nucleotide long non-coding RNA. RefSeq lists it as uncharacterized. The record is from RefSeq and is a predicted model, not a curated record. NCBI's taxonomy places the organism in Eukaryota, Metazoa, Chordata, Cladistia, Polypteriformes, Polypteridae. The transcript is spliced from 2 exons.